This 484-nucleotide ribosomal RNA is filed under the name uncultured bacterium. Its description in RNAcentral is "partial 16S ribosomal RNA". It matches the Rfam family "Bacterial small subunit ribosomal RNA", at positions 30 to 507 of the family's 1533-position model. The record is from RNAcentral.
AUUGAACGCUGGCGGCAGGCCUAACACAUGCAAGUCGAGCGGAUGAAGGGAGCUUGCUCCUGGAUUCAGCGGCGGACGGGUGAGUAAUGCCUAGGAAUCUGCCUGGUAGUGGGGGAUAACGUCCGGAAACGGGCGCUAAUACCGCAUACGUCCUGAGGGAGAAAGUGGGGGAUCUUCGGACCUCACGCUAUCAGAUGAGCCUAGGUCGGAUUAGCUAGUUUGUGGGGUAAAGGCCUACCAAGGCGACGAUCCGUAACUGGUCUGAGAGGAUGAUCAGUCACACUGGAACUGAGACACGGUCCAGACUCCUACGGGAGGCAGCAGUGGGGAAUAUUGGACAAUGGGCGAAAGCCUGAUCCAGCCAUGCCGCGUGUGUGAAGAAGGUCUUCGGAUUGUAAAGCACUUUAAGUUGGGAGGAAGGGCAGUAAGUUAAUACCUUGCUGUUUUGACGUUACCAACAGAAUAAGCACCGGCUGACUUCGUG